AAUAGCGUAUAUUAAAGUUGUUGCAGUUAAAAAGCUCGUAGUUGGAUUUCUGGUCGGAAGCUCCUGUCCUCUGAUGAGCGUACAAGUGCGUCCUACCAUCCUUCUGUUAACCUUUAAGGCUUUCGCGGCUUUCUAGGGGCUCAGAUAUUUUACCUUGAGAAAAUUAGAGUGUUUCAGGCAGGCUAGCGCCGGAAUACAUUAGCAUGGAAUAAUGGAAUAGGACUUUUGCCUCUUCUGUUGGUCAUGAGGCUCGAGUAAUGAUUAAUAGGGAUAGUUGGGGGCAUUAGUACUUAACUGUCAGAGGUGAAAUUCUCGGAUUUGUUAAAGACUAACUUAUGCGAAAGCAUUUGCCAAGGAUGUUUUCAUUAA
Molecule: ribosomal RNA, 369 nt
Filed under: uncultured eukaryote
Lineage: Eukaryota
Description: partial 18S ribosomal RNA
Rfam family: Eukaryotic small subunit ribosomal RNA
Source: RNAcentral